GCACACACAGGGGGCCACGCCGUUGAGACUGCACCAGGCAGACCACAGGGCUGGGCCGGGCCAAAGCAGCACCCAGAGUUAGGGGGGUUUCCUGGAAAGAGCCUGAGCUAUGAAGAAAGCGAGGGGGCAAGUGAGCGCUUUGGCUGGCUUUCUUCCUGAUAUGAUCACAGUCUUCUUUGCAGCAUCGCAAAGGACCUAGGAAACGCUACCACGUAUGAGGGCACCUUGCAGAGAGAGGAGACACGAUGGCCGAGGAAGGAAAAGAGCUGCCCAACAGGUGCCUUCAUCUUUCUUCCUUUUUGGAGACUUUGGAGGAGUGCCAUGCUGUGGAACUGUCAAGAAGAGGGGAGAGGAAAAAGCUUUUCAUAAUCACACCUCCUCAGGCACAGCCAGAAGGCCACGGGUGAAGUGGCAGGUGCCCAGCGUGUGGGGAAGUCUGUCCGCCAAGGAGCUGCAUCUCACACUCACCGGAUGAAGGUUUUGAAGGCAGCCGACUGGGGGUUGAUACAGAGGGGAACUCGUUUCCCCCGCUGCUGGUCCAGGAUAAACCGAUGCACCAAUUCUGAAAUUGAAGUAGAAACCUUUUCAGUCUCACCUUUCUCCUCCUCCUCCUCCAUUUGUCCUACCUUUCAUACCCUACUCACCUUCACCCCACACUCUUUUCUUUCCCUAUCGUCAAACAGAUCCUUUUAGCUUUCUAAAAGCGUUAUUUAACUUCUUAAUGGACCGGUAGGGCCAAUCUUUGCCCUAAAUGUAGGAGAGUGAGAUUUUACUCCUCCCCAUCCUUUUCAGACAUCUCAAAAAAUUCCGUCAGGCCAAAAUGCAGGUGAACAGACUGCUCACAGGGAGCAACCAGAGCAAGCACACCUGGCCAGGUGUGAAAUGGCUUUGCAGCUGCUGCCAGUCUCUUCCCAGGCUCUGGUGCUGACUUUCCAGCUCCACAAGCCUUGGGGACCAGACGCACCCAAGGGCAUCUUUGCCCACAUGCUGCUGCCAUAGCUCACCUGCUGCAGCAUCAGCCCAACCGGCAAGUUGCAGGCUGACUCUCCAGGUAGGAGCACUCAGGAAGAACCGUGCCUGGAACCUGGGAGCCACUGCUGCCGUUGGUGUUGCAAAUCUGGGCCAGCUGGACCAGGCUCUGACUUGGCUUUAAGGCAGCCUCCUAGGCUCCUACACCAGGCAUCUCUCCCUGGAUGCCUUCUAAGUGAGGUGAGGAGACUUCUUCUGCCUCAUCCCUGGGACAUUCCCUUCCCCAGAAAAGUUUGCUUGGUGCCUGUUUUAUAUCCUUCCAAAGGCCUUUUCUGCAUCUUGGCAGACCUUUUAAACAGAGGCUGAAUUCAGCUUUACUCUGCCCCUGUGAUGUUGGGCAUUUUUAUUUUUAAUCCUGUUACUUGUUCUUGUAGUUUUAAUUCUAUGAAAUGGUUAUGUUAAAGUAAAGUUAAAAAAUAAAACCA
Long non-coding RNA from Varanus komodoensis (Komodo dragon), 1454 nucleotides. RefSeq lists it as uncharacterized. The transcript has 3 exons. NCBI's taxonomy places the organism in Eukaryota, Metazoa, Chordata, Lepidosauria, Squamata, Varanidae. The record is from RefSeq and is a predicted model, not a curated record.